CGGGGUGCAGCAGGCGCGAAAACUCUACAAUGCAGGCAACUGCGAUAGGGGGACAUCGAGUGGCAUCCACCUUGGGUGCCUGUCCAACCGUCUAAAAAACGGUUGUUAGCAAGGGCCGGGUAAGACCGGUGCCAGCCGCCGCGGUAAUACCGGCGGCUCGAGUGGUGGCCGAUAUUAUUGAGUCUAAAGGGUCCGUAGCCGGCUUUGCAAGUCCCCUGGGAAAUCCAGCGGCUUAACCGUUGGGCUUUCAUGGGAUACUACAUUGCUUGGGACUGGGAGAGGUAGGAGGUACUCGGGGGGUAGGGGUGAAAUCCUGUAAUCCUCCGGGGACCACCGGUGGCGAAGGCGUCCUACCAGAACAGGUCCGACGGUGAGGGACGAAAGCUAGGGGCACGAACCGGAUUAGAUACCCGGGUAGUCCUAGCCGUAAACGAUGCCCGCUAGGUGUCACGACGGUCGUGAAUCGUCGUGGUGCCGUAGGGAAGCCGCGAAGCGGGCCACUUGGGAAGUACGGCCGCAAGGCUGAAACUUAAAGGAAUUGGCGGGG
This 547-nucleotide ribosomal RNA is filed under the name uncultured archaeon. RNAcentral's name for it is "bacterial SSU rRNA". It matches the Rfam family "Archaeal small subunit ribosomal RNA", at positions 326 to 873 of the family's 1478-position model. The record is from RNAcentral.